Molecule: long non-coding RNA, 247 nt
Filed under: Elaeis guineensis (African oil palm)
Lineage: Eukaryota; Viridiplantae; Streptophyta; Magnoliopsida; Arecales; Arecaceae
Description: long non-coding RNA (EGUI_LNC045074)
Source: RNAcentral
GGUCAGGUUGGUCGAGCUACACUCGGACCUGGACAUUCGUUUGUUUGAUACACUUGGUGUAGUCAUGUUAAUGGUUGGAUCUAAUCAGAAUUUUUAAUGGAGAUGCCACAUGCCUGCUGAAGAGAUGUCUGGGGCCAAACAUAAUUGCUAAAAAUUAUUUGAUGAAAUAAUUGGUUAAGAACCUACCCAUAGAUGUAUUAGGGUUGGUCGAGCCACAUUCGGACCUAAAUGUAGUCUGUGUGGAUUC